UAGGGAAUCUUCGGCAAUGGACGCAAGUCUGACCGAGCAACGCCGCGUGAGUGAAGACGGUUUUCGGAUCGUAAAGCUCUGUUGUAGGGGAAGAACGUGUGUAAGAGUGGAAAGCUUACACAGUGACGGUACCCUACCAGAAAGGGACGGCUAACUACGUGCCAGCAGCCGCGGUAAUACGUAGGUCCCGAGCGUUGUCCGGAUUUAUUGGGCGUAAAGGGAGCGCAGGCGGUUUAGUAAGUCUGAAGUUAAAGGCAUUGGCUCAACCAAUGUAUGCUUUGGAAACUGUUAGACUUGAGUGCAGAAGGGGAGAGUGGAAUUCCAUGUGUAGCGGUGAAAUGCGUAGAUAUAUGGAGGAACACCGGUGGCGAAAGCGGCUCUCUGGUCUGUCACUGACGCUGAGGCUCGAAAGCGUGGGUAGCGAACAGGAUUAGAUACCCUGGUAGUCCACGCCGUAACGCUGAGUGCUAGGUGUUAGGUCCUUUCCGGGACUUAGUGCCGACGCUAACGCAUUAAGCACUCCGCCUGGGGAGUACGACCGCAAGGUU
Molecule: ribosomal RNA, 548 nt
Filed under: uncultured bacterium
Lineage: Bacteria
Description: bacterial SSU rRNA
Rfam family: Bacterial small subunit ribosomal RNA
Source: RNAcentral